CUUCCCCUCUUUUUCCCUAAUUUUCCCCUCUUUUUCCUUGCGUUCCCCCUCUUUUUCCUUGAUCCCCCCUCUUUUCCCUCAAUUUCCCCUCUUUUUCCCCCCUUUUCCCCACACUUUUUCCCAUUUCCUCUUUAUUUCCCCCCCCUCCCCCCCCAUUUUCCUUUCCCUUUCCCUUUCCAAUUCCAUCCCUGGGGAAAGAGAGAGCAUGGCUUCCAUUUUCAUGGGCAAAACAGGUUCAAUGAUUCCUCAUGAACUUCCAAAUCAUUCCAGUCCAAAAGCUGCCCUCAAAGGCCUCGUAAAAAAAACUUGGUGUGAUGAUUAAAAAAAUAAACAAGAAAUCAAUUUCUAUAUUAAAAAACAAAAAGGGGAAAAUCAAAAUAAUUCAAAAAUGAAAAAAGAAAAACACAACAAACACAGCAAAAAAAAAUCAAAUAAAAUAGAAAUAAAGGAGAAAUUGGAAGCAAAAUUUCCACCCCCUGCCUGGUUUUGGGGAUCGAAUGCGGAAGAAGUCGAAGGAUUUUGGGGGGUGAGCAGCACCCAUUUGUGGUUGAGGACCGGCACCCAUCCCUGCCUGCUGAGCAGCACCCAAACUGGACCACGAAGCAGCACCCAGCUUCAGCCAAACACCAGCACCCAUCCUUGGGUAACGACCAGCACCCAUCCUUGGGUAACGAGCAGCACCCGUAUUUAGCCAUGAGCAGCACCCAUCUUUGGCUGGUGAUGAGCACCCAUCCUGGAUCAAAGACCAGCACCCAUCCUUGGCCAACGACCAGCACCCAACCUUGGGCAAAAAGCAGCACCCAUAUUUGGCCAACAAGCAGCACCCAUCCUUGGGUAACAACCAGCACCCAUCCUUGGAUAACAACCAGCACCCGUAUUUAGCCAUGAGCAGCACCCAUCUUUGGCCAGUGAGCAGCACCCAUCCUGGACCAGAGACCAGCACCCAUCCUGAGUCAACAACCAGCACCCAUUCUGGACCAAUGACCAGCACCCAUCUUUGGCCAAUGAGCAGCACCCAUCCUUGGGUAACAACCAGCACCCAGCUUCAGCCAAACACCAGCACCCAUCCUUGGGUAACGAGCAGCACCCAUAUUUAGCCAUGAGCAGCACCCAUCUUUGGCUAGUGAGCAGCACCCAUCCUGGACCAGAGACCAGCACCCAUCUUUUGCUAGUGAGCAGCACCCAUCAUGGAUCAAAGACCAGCACCCAUCUUUGG
Molecule: long non-coding RNA, 1216 nt
Filed under: Phasianus colchicus (ring-necked pheasant)
Lineage: Eukaryota; Metazoa; Chordata; Aves; Galliformes; Phasianidae
Description: lncRNA (ENSPCLG00000017571.1)
Source: RNAcentral